CAGCAGCCACGGUAAUACGGAGGGUGCAAGCGUUAAUCGGAAUUACUGGGCGUAAAGCGUGCGUAGGCGGUUCGUUAAGUCUGUUGUGAAAGCCCCGGGCUCAACCUGGGAAUGGCAAUGGAUACUGGCGAGCUAGAGUGUGUCAGAGGAUGGUGGAAUUCCCGGUGUAGCGGUGAAAUGCGUAGAGAUCGGGAGGAACAUCAGUGGCGAAGGCGGCCAUCUGGGACAACACUGACGCUGAGGCACGAAAGCGUGGGGAGCAAACAGGAUUAGAUACCCCGGUAGUCCCUGUCUCUUAUAU
This 301-nucleotide ribosomal RNA is filed under the name uncultured bacterium. RNAcentral describes it as "partial 16S ribosomal RNA". It matches the Rfam family "Bacterial small subunit ribosomal RNA", at positions 509 to 809 of the family's 1533-position model. The record is from RNAcentral.